AGAUCUUUGGGGGAGGUUUCGGCCUCUUUCCCUUAGAUGUAUAUGUUAUACCCGUGUCUUUUGCGUACUACUUGUUUCCUUGGUGGGCUUGCCCACCAAUAGGACAUUAUUUUAAACCUUUUGUAAUUGCAGUCAGCGUCAGAAAUAACUUUUAAUAGUUACAACUUUCAACAACGGAUCUCUUGGUUCUGGCAUCGAUGAAGAACGCAGCGAAAUGCGAUAAGUAGUGUGAAUUGCAGAAUUCAGUGAAUCAUCGAAUCUUUGAACGCACAUUGCGCCCCUUGGUAUUCCAUGGGGCAUGCCUGUUCGAGCGUCAUUUGUACCCUCAAGCUCUGCUUGGUGUUGGGUGUUUGUCUCGCGUUGCGCGUAGACUCGCCUUAAAACAAUUGGCAGCCGGCAUUUUGGCCUAGGAGCGCAGCACAUUUUGCGAUUCUAGUCAUGUAUGUUGGCGUCCAUGAAGCAAAACAUUUUUACGCUUGACCUCGGAUCAGGUAGGGAUACCCGCUGAACUUAAGCAUAUCAAUA
RNAcentral lists this ribosomal RNA (525 nucleotides) under fungal sp. Den_40. RNAcentral describes it as "eukaryotic LSU rRNA". The stretch from base 163 to 316 matches the Rfam family "5.8S ribosomal RNA". The record is from RNAcentral. Lineage: Eukaryota; Fungi.